CCGUAGGUGAACCUGCGGAAGGAUCAUUACAGAGUUCAUGCCCUCACGGGUAGAUCUCCCACCCUUGAAUACUAUACCUUUGUUGCUUUGGCGGGCCGCUUCGGCUACCGGCUCUGGCUGGUAAGUGCCCGCCAAAGGACCCCUAAACUCUGAAUAUUAGUGUUGUCUGGGUACUAUAUAAUAGUUAAAACUUUCAACAACGGAUCUCUUGGUUCUGGCAUCGAUGAAGAACGCAGCGAAAUGCGAUAAGUAAUGUGAAUUGCAGAAUUCAGUGAAUCAUCGAAUCUUUGAACGCACAUUGCGCCCCUUGGCAUUCCGAGGGGCAUGCCCGUUCGAGCGUCAUUAUAACCCCUCAAGCCUAGCUUGGUGUUGGGGCCUGCUGUUACCGGCAGCCCUUAAAAUCAGUGGCGGUGCCAUCUGGCUCUAAGCGUAGUAAUACUUCUCGCUACAGGGUCCUGGUGGAUGCUUGCCAUCAACCCCUAAUUUUCUAUGGUUGACCUCGGAUCGGGUAGGGAUACCCGCUGAACUUAAGCAUAUCAAUAAGCGGAGGA
Molecule: ribosomal RNA, 551 nt
Filed under: uncultured fungus
Lineage: Eukaryota; Fungi
Description: eukaryotic LSU rRNA
Rfam family: 5.8S ribosomal RNA (bases 189-342)
Source: RNAcentral